Alligator sinensis (Chinese alligator) is the source of this 1158-nucleotide long non-coding RNA. RefSeq lists it as uncharacterized. The record is from RefSeq and is a predicted model, not a curated record. The transcript is spliced from 3 exons. NCBI's taxonomy places the organism in Eukaryota, Metazoa, Chordata, Crocodylia, Alligatoridae.
UCUGCAUACCUCAGAGAGAUGUACUCAGGCCUGAUGUAGCAAUGCAGCACACAGUAAUGGGAUCAGAUACCUUAAGGAGCCUGGAGCCUGAUUCUUAAUAUACCGUGCGAGGGCUGGACUGUGGAUGCUGUAAUUAGCAGCCAGUUCUCUGAUUUCAGCCAUAUGGCAAGGUGCUGUCACAGCAUCUUGAAGCCAGUGCACUCCAGGGAACAAGGAGGGAAGACGAAAAAAGGAUGAAGUAAUGUAUACCACUGCCAGGCCCAUGCCCACUUCACCUCUAUGCAUUGACAAAGGAGGAGCAGGAAGGAGGAGGAUAGGAGAGAGCGGCCUGAGGAUAAGAGACACUCUAUGCUCAUGAAAACCAAAUAGAUAUUGGGCACCUGCUCUUUCACUCAUGCGCAAUCAUACAAUGUCAUACAGUAGGUUGUAGCAGUCUAUAAAUCCAGCAGGCAGGAUCUACAUCAGAGCAGGGCCGGCCCGUCCUGUUCUGUGCAACUUGCAGCCUCACGGGGCCCCGCAGCCAAGGGGCCAUGCCCUGCUUGACCCCGCACCAUGUUUAAAGGGCUCGAUGCAGGCAGGGAGCCCCUUCCCGGCCGAGCGGUGGAGGAGUUUCUAGCUCUGCUCCUACCCUGACCCUGGUCCCGGUCCCAGGGAGGGAAGUCAGGCAUCCCCAGCACAUGCUGCCCCCACCUCGCAGCCCACGUGUGUGCAGCCCAGCCCCAACUAUUUCAAAGCAAGAGGACACACCUAGAACACUUGGUUCAAUUCUUGACACGGUUUUACUCAGGAACAUGUCGAUGAGCUUGAGGAGAUGCAGAGGAGGACAAGAAAACAGGGUGGAAGCCUCAGGCAGGACCAACUUCUGAGGCAGGAACAGAAGGCCUGAAGUGUUCGUGACUUUGCUAUGUAGGGUUUCUAAUAUGUAGCUGAAGGAUGUACACAUCAAGGAAGGAGAGGAAUAACUGGAGUGGAGCCCAUGGAGUAGAGCUAGAGGAAGUUGGUGAAGUGAAAAAAACCCGCAGGGGGAACGUCAAAGGAUCAAAGAGAGUCAGAGAGCAAAAGCCUCACGGAUGAUACCCCUCUGGCAAAGGGAAAGUGCCCUGACCUAGCAGCCAGGAGCUCCACAGACUGUUGUUAAUACUUCUCUACAAUUUAAAG